AUGCUAGCCUUCUCCUUUCUUGUCCAAUACAAAUGGGCAAACUGAUGGUUUUCUUAUCGGAUCAGAAGCAAUGAGCUUCUGAGGGGAGGGGGACAAGGAGAGGUAAAAACAGGUGAGGGUAUUUUUGUCUUCUAAUUUAUGACUAAUGGUUGGAUGUGAAAAAAAAUGGACAGAGUAACCAUUUUGUAGAUGAAAUCAAACCUUAGGGAUGUUUUA
RNAcentral lists this unclassified non-coding RNA (216 nucleotides) under Hevea brasiliensis (rubber tree). The record is from RNAcentral. Lineage: Eukaryota; Viridiplantae; Streptophyta; Magnoliopsida; Malpighiales; Euphorbiaceae.